GACGAACGCUGGCGGCGUGCCUAAUACAUGCAAGUUGAGCGCUGAAGGUUGGUACUUGUACCAACUGGAUGAGCAGCGAACGGGUGAGUAACGCGUGGGGAAUCUGCCUUUGAGCGGGGGACAACAUUUGGAAACGAAUGCCAAUACCGCAUAAAAACUUUAAACACAAGUUUUAAGUUUGAAAGAUGCAAUUGCAUCACUCAAAGAUGAUCCCGCGUUGUAUUAGCUAGUUGGUGAGGUAAAGGCUCACCAAGGCGAUGAUACAUAGCCGACCUGAGAGGGUGAUCGGCCACAUUGGGACUGAGACACGGCCCAAACUCCUACGGGAGGCAGCAGUAGGGAAUCUUCGGCAAUGGACGAAAGUCUGACCGAGCAACGCCGCGUGAGUGAAGAAGGUUUUCGGAUCGUAAAACUCUGUUGGUAGAGAAGAACGUUGGUGAGAGUGGAAAGCUCAUCAAGUGACGGUAACUACCCAGAAAGGGACGGCUAACUACGU
This 496-nucleotide ribosomal RNA is filed under the name uncultured bacterium. RNAcentral describes it as "partial 16S ribosomal RNA". It matches the Rfam family "Bacterial small subunit ribosomal RNA", at positions 28 to 506 of the family's 1533-position model. The record is from RNAcentral.